RNAcentral lists this transfer RNA (70 nucleotides) under Dipodomys ordii (Ord's kangaroo rat). It matches the Rfam family "tRNA". Rfam says of the family: Transfer RNA (tRNA) molecules are approximately 80 nucleotides in length. The record is from Rfam by way of RNAcentral. Lineage: Eukaryota; Metazoa; Chordata; Mammalia; Rodentia; Heteromyidae.
GGGAAUGUGGCUUAGUGGUAGAGUGCUUGCCUUGCAUGCACAAGGCCCUGGGUUCAAUUCCUCAGUACCA